This 936-nucleotide ribosomal RNA is filed under the name Triticum aestivum (bread wheat). RNAcentral describes it as "partial small subunit ribosomal RNA". Lineage: Eukaryota; Viridiplantae; Streptophyta; Magnoliopsida; Poales; Poaceae. The record is from RNAcentral.
AUGUACAAUAAUGUUGUGACAAGUGUUCGAACAAGUGAUGUCGACACCGAUGACUUCCCGAUUAAGAUAGGACUGCAUCAGGGGUCAGCUUUGAGCCCUUAUCUUUUUGCAUUGGUGAUGGAUGAGGUCACAAGGGGUAUACAAGGAGAUAUCCCAUGGUGUAUGCUCUUUGCGGAUGAUGUGGUGCUAGUUGACGAUAGUCGGAUGGGGGUAAAUAGGAAGUUAGAGUUAUGGAGACAAACCUUGGAAUCGAAAGGGUUUAGGCUUAGUAGAACUAAAACCGAGUACAUGAUGUGCGGUUUCAGUACUACUAGCUGUGAGGAGGAGGAGGUUAGCCUUGAUGGCCAGGUGGUACCUCGGAAGGACACCUUUCGGUAUUUGGGGUCAAUGUUGCAGGAGGAUGGGGGUAUUGAUGAAGAUGUGAACCAUCGAAUCAAAGCCGGAUGGAUGAAGUGGCGCCAAGCUUCUGGCAUUCUCUGUGACAAGAGAGUGCCACAAAAGUUAAAAGGCAAGUUCUACAGGACGGCGGUUCGACCCGCAAUGUUGUAUGGCGCGGAGUGUUGGCCGACUAAAAGGCGACAUGUUCAACAGUUAGGUGUGACGGAGAUGCGUAUGUUGAGAUGGAUGUGUGGCCACACGAGGAAGGAUCGAGUCCGGAAUGAUGAUAUACGAGAUAGAGUUGGGGUAGCACCAAUUGAGGAGAAGCUUGUCCAACAUCGUUUGAGAUGGUUUGGGCAUAUUCAGCGCAGGCCUCCAGAAGCUCCAGUGCAUAGCGGACGGCUAAAGCGUGCGGAGAAUGUCAAGAGAGGGCGGGGUCGACCGAUUUUGACAUGGGAGGAGUCCGUUAAGAGAGACCUGAAGGAUUGGAGUAUCGACAAAGAGCUAGCUAUGGACAGGGGUGCGUGGAAGCUUGCUAUCCAUGUGCCAGAGCCAUGA